Long non-coding RNA from Ictalurus punctatus (channel catfish), 2655 nucleotides. NCBI's taxonomy places the organism in Eukaryota, Metazoa, Chordata, Actinopteri, Siluriformes, Ictaluridae. The record is from Ensembl.
UAAAGGAGGAGGUUAAACUGUGUUACUUUUUGGACAGGAGAGGAUUUCCAGCUUUCCUGGUAACGCUUCCACUUUUUCCUCUUUAUCACCUUCUCUCAUCAUCUUCAUCACCACCCGCUCCUGCUGCCUGUACACCAUAAACACACAUCAUCAUCAUCAUCAUCAUCAUCAUCAUCAUCACCCGCUCCUGCUGCCUGUUACACCAUAAACAAACAUCAUCAUCAUCAUCAUCACCCGCUCCUGCUGCCUGUUACACCAUAAACACACAUCUUCAUCAUCAUCAUCAUCACCCGCUCCUGCUGCCUGUUACACCAUAAACAAACAUCAUCAUCAUCAUCAUCAGCCCGCUCCUGCUGCCUGUUACACCAUAAACAAACAUCUUCAUCAUCAUCAUCAUCAUCAUCACCCGCUCCUGCUGCCUGUUACACCAUAAACACACAUCAUCAUCAUCAUCAUCAUCAUCACCCGCUCCUGCUGGCCUGUUACACCAUAAACACACAUCUUCAUCAUCAUCAUCAUCACCCGCUCCUGCUGCCUGUUACACCAUAAACACACAUCUUCAUCAUCAUCAUCAUCACCCGCUCCUGCUGCCUGUUACACCAUAAACACACAUCAUCAUCAUCAUCAUCAUCAUCAUCAUCACCCGCUCCUGCUGCCUGUUACACCAUAAACACACAUCAUCAUCAUCAUCAUCAUCAUCACCCGCUCCUGCUUGCCUGUUACACCAUAAACAACCACAUCUUCAUCAUCAUCAUCAUCAUCAUCACCCGCUCCUGCUGCCUGUUACACCAUAAACAAACAUCAUCAUCAUCAUCACCAUCAUCAUCACCACCCGCUCCUGCUGCCUGUUACACCAUAAACACACAUCUUCAUCAUCAUCAUCAUCAUCAUCAUCAUCAUCACCACCCGCUCCUGCUGCCUGUUACACCAUAAACAACAUCAUCAUCAUCAUCAUCAUCACCCGCUCCUGCUGCCUGUUACACCAUAAACACACAUCUUCAUCAUCAUCAUCAUCAUCAUCAUCAUCAUCACCACCCGCUCCUGCUGCCUGUUACACCAUAAACACACAUCUUCAUCAUCAUCAUCUUCAUCAUCACCCGCUCCUGCUGCCUGUUACACCAUAAACACACAUCAUCAUCAUCAUCACCACCCGCUCCUGCUGCCUGUUACACCAUAAACACACAUCUUCAUCAUCAUCAUCAUCAUCAUCAUCACCCGCUCCUGCUGCCUGUUACACCAUAAACACACAUCAUCAUCAUCAUCAUCAUCAUCAUCACCACCCGCUCCUGCUGCCUGUUACACCAUAAACACACAUCAUCAUCAUCAUCACCACCCGCUCCUGCUGCCUGUUACACCAUAAACACACAUCAUCAUCAUCAUCAUCAUCACCCGCUCCUGCUGCCUGUUACACCAUAAACACACAUCUUCAUCAUCAUCAUCAUCACCACCCGCUCCUGCUGCCUGUUACACCAUAAACACACAUCAUCAUCAUCAUCACCACCCGCUCCUGCUGCCUGUUACACCAUAAACACACAUCAUCAUCAUCAUCAUCAUCAUCCGCUCCUGCUGCCUGUUACACCAUAAACAAACAUCAUCAUCAUCAUCAUCAUCAUCAUCAUCAUCAUCACCCGCUCCUGCUGCCUGUUACACCAUAAACACACAUCAUCAUCAUCAUCAUCAUCAUCAUCACCCGCUCCUGCUGCCUGUUACACCAUAAACACACAUCAUCAUCAUCAUCACCAUCAUCAUCACCCGCUCCUGCUGCCUGUUACACCAUAAACACACAUCAUCAUCAUCAUCAUCACCCGCUCCUGCUGCCUGUUACACCAUAAACACACAUCUUCAUCAUCAUCAAUCAUCAUCAUCAUCACCCGCUCCUGCUGCCUGUUACACCAUAAACACACAUCUUCAUCAUCAUCAUCAUCAUCAUCACCACCCGCUCCUGCUGCCUGUUACACCAUAAACAAACAUCAUCAUCAUCAUCAUCAUCACCGCUCCCUGCUGCCUGUUACACCAUAAACACACAUCUUCAUCAUCAUCAUCAUCAUCAUCACCACCCGCUCCUGCUGCCUGUUACACCAUAAACAAACAUCAUCAUCAUCAUCAAUCAUCAUCACCCGCUCCUGCUGCCUGUUACACCAUAAACAAACAUCAUCAUCAUCAUCAUCACCCGCUCCUGCUGCCUGUUACACCAUAAACACACAUCAUCAUCAUCAUCAUCAUCACCCGCUCCUGCUGCCUGUUACACCAUAAACACACAUCAUCAUCAUCAUCAUCAUCACCACCCGCUCCUGCUGCCUGUUACACCAAUAAACACACAUCAUCAUCAUCAUCAUCACCACCGCUCCUGCUGCCUGUUACACCAUAAACAAACAUCUUCAUCAUCUCAUCAUCAUCUCACCCCGCUCCUGCUGCCUGUUACACCAUAAACAACAUCUUCAUCAUCAUCAUCAUCAUCAUCAUCACCACCCGCUCCUGCUGCCUUGUUACACCAUAAACACACAUCUUCAUCAUCAUCAUCAUCAUCACCACCCGCUCCUGCUGCCUGUUACACCAUAAACACACAUCUUCAUCAUCAUCAUCAUCAUCACCACCCGCUCCUGCUGCCUGUUACACCAUAAACACAUCAUCAUCAUCAUCAUCAUCUUCAUCACC